AAGGGGGUGCCGCAAUGAAGGCUGAGAUUAUACCCAUUGAACCUGAUACGGUUAAUGCCGGCGAAGGGAAUUUUC
RNAcentral lists this non-coding RNA (75 nucleotides) under uncultured Parabacteroides sp. Lineage: Bacteria; Pseudomonadati; Bacteroidota; Bacteroidia; Bacteroidales; Tannerellaceae. The record is from RNAcentral.